Molecule: long non-coding RNA, 913 nt
Organism: Hylaeus volcanicus
Lineage: Eukaryota; Metazoa; Arthropoda; Insecta; Hymenoptera; Colletidae
Exons: 3
Source: RefSeq, a predicted model, not a curated record
CGAGGAUUAUAUAGCAUUUUUUCUUUCUGUUCACGUUCAUGCUACCUUCUUCUAACUGUUCAGCUUCACAAGAGGAAACAUUGGUUAAACAUUGUAACAAUUCUUGCACAGCAAAGCAACACGAUUCUCCCAAUUGGAUGGAAUCUUAAUAGCAUUCAAUACAAGGAUAAAUAUUUUUUAUCAUAAACGCGAAAGCUUCUGGAAUUUUAGCUUGAAGAAUUUCCUUAAUGGUGCAUAAUUCAUCAAUUGCAAGAUGUUUGAAAAUAUUGGCAGCUUUUAUUUGAAUCUUUGUAAGAGUGAAAAAAAAAAACUAUAAAAAAUGUGUAAAAAAAAAGAAAAAGUACUUUUGAAUUUGGGGAUUGUAUUCCAGUACUUAUAAUCUCGAAACCACCCAAUUUUAAAAAGUCCUAAAAAAACAUAUUAGCGUGCUAUGUUAAGCAUUAAGAAAUACAUAGGUCACCUCUUCAAUAUUUUUGACCUGACGAAUAAGACUUGAAAGAGCACUUAAAUUUAGUGGAUUUGUCAGUAAAGCCUCACGAUCUUUUAACAAUUCAAUUAAACCGCCAGCCUUCCAAAACUCUAUUUGUAUCUUCUCAUUAUUUGACAAUGAAAAAGAUAGUAUCUGUUAAAUAUUCCAAAUAUAGAGUGAUCUAAAAAAUUUAAACACUACAUGAUAGCCAACAUUGCGAAUUUCUUCAUGAUUCAUUUGUAUAGCUUUCAACAAAAUCGAAAAAUAUGGAGGUUAUAAAGAAGAAAGUUGAUAGAGAAUUUACCUGUCAAGGUGGCGAGAAACUUCAGGAAAAUCGUCAACACAAUCUUUUAUUGUAACAAGAGCUGUUAUUUUAUCGGUCUCUGAUUUUUUGUGUUAUAAUGAAUCAGCCAAGAAAUAAAUCAAAAUAUACCAACCUGUAAG